UGUGGGAGCGGGCUUGCCCGCGAAGGCGUCGGCACAUUCAGCAUCCAAUACGUCUGAAAGUCCGCCAUCGCGGGCAAGCCCGCUCCCACA
This 90-nucleotide unclassified non-coding RNA is filed under the name Pseudomonas arsenicoxydans. Lineage: Bacteria; Pseudomonadati; Pseudomonadota; Gammaproteobacteria; Pseudomonadales; Pseudomonadaceae. The record is from RNAcentral.